This is a long non-coding RNA of Falco peregrinus (peregrine falcon), 2674 nucleotides long. RefSeq lists it as uncharacterized. The record is from RefSeq and is a predicted model, not a curated record. Lineage: Eukaryota; Metazoa; Chordata; Aves; Falconiformes; Falconidae. The transcript has 3 exons.
AGCUUGCUCCAGACCCAAAGACGGGAGAGGAAACCCGGGCUAGGAGGAGCUGAGGCAGCAGCGGUGGCUGGGAUGGGGAUGGCCGCUGGGAUGGACGUCUCUCUGCAAAAUCCCUUUCCCAUGGAGAGCCAGAAUAAGUGGGGAGGGAAGGGAUUUGGCAGCACCGUCACCUAGACUGACUUGUCACAUCAUCCAGUCCUAGGUGCCAGCAUCCCUAGCAAAAAUGUCAAUGAAAAGGAGUCAUUGCCUCAUAUGCUGCAAAAACCCCUCCAGUGAUCUUUGCCAGUAUUGAAGCUCCUGUGAAGAAAAGACAUCUGACAUUUUAAAACUUUGGUCUGGCCAAACCACCUAAUGUCAUUCCUGCUUCCUCUUCCCAGACAACCAAUCCUUGCUUUAAAUUGCCCAAGAGCCAACAGUGCUACCUUGCCACACAGAUUACACCUCCCACCACCAUGCAUCUUUCCUGCAUGCUUAGUAAGUCGCCUCCAUGAAGGGUUAAUUCAACCAGGGCCUUUUACUCCAAGUUGUUUUCCAAGUAGCUGAGAGAAUAGGUCUCUUGUUACAAACAUGGCUUCUGGGCAUUUGGUGAUGCUUUCCCUUUUCUCUCUCUCUGUACCACAAAAGAAUCUUUUGUUCUUGUCCCUCUGUCUCAUUUACUCUCCCCCACCCAGCUCUCGCCUCUUCCCUCCAUUGGCUGCCAAGUGACUAAGGAAUGGCAAAAAAUGACCAUAGCUGGUCAUGGCAAAUAUUUCUUCAGCUAUUAUCUGAUAGAGACCUUGAGCAUCUAUGUGAAGGGCCCUCUGCCUUCCCUCAGGCUUCUCCUAGAGAUAGGGGAAAAUGAGUCGGACACAACAGGGCAGGAUAUAAGUUGAAUCAGUCCAACAUGCUAAUGGAAAUGUCUUUCAAAUGGAGUCAUGGUGCCUGUUUCAGGAAAAUCAAAUGAUAGGGACCCAGAGCUGGCAGGAGUCCAGUGGAAGCUUCAGUCUGCAUUUAUUAAAAAACACAUGGGAGACACAAAAAAGUCACUUUCUGGCUUCCGCAUUUACUGAUUCAGCUGUUUGUAAGCUGGAAUCAACACUCUUUGUUGGAUAGAUUGUAAUGUCAUAUAGUUUCUCUGCACUAUUGCUAUAAAUCUGGUUGUGCGUGAUCUCCUACCACAGAAAAGCUGUGACAAAUCCCCAUGGACAUCAUGUCUUCCCACACCCCAUUGAAUUACCUCAGGCAUUCCCACAGACAUCCUUCUAGAUAUAGCCCCUUGCACAUACUGCUUCACUGAGUCAUUUUACACAUACAUACAUAGAUAUGUAAAAGUUCACAUGAUGCUAAACUCACUGCAAUUUCCACGAUGAUUUUUCUGCAACAGAAACAAUUCCCCAGCCAGAUUCCUACCUCCCUACCUUUUAGAGCAUUUGGGUAUACCCUUCACUGAUACUGCCUUCUGCAAGAAAAUCAAAUUCUUCAGUCUCACCUGAAGCAAAUCUUGCUGGUUUUGCCUUUCUGCUCAUCUUCCACAGACCCUCUUCACUACUCUGACUACCAUUUGUCCAAGUCCAUCUCAGUUUGUGUUGUUCUUUAGGUGAACAUGGCAUAUACUGCCUGGCUCCAUCUGCCAAGCUUUCUGUACUCUUCUUGCAUUCAGUGCCUUAACUAUUUUGGAAAGCCCUUGAAACAAUCAUUACCUUUCAGCCUUAGUGACUUCCCGCACACACGUGUACAAAGCUGUGGAUUUAAGGCGUUAUCUGGAGAAUUUUUAUUCCUGUAGAGAAGGGAAAUGGACUAUACAGGUAAAUGGACCAUUAUAUACCCACAUUAGAAGGACUUGUCUGGUGGAUUUUAACCAAGCUGGUUAAAACAUCAUGAAAACAGUGCACUGACAAACUCCUUAUAUUCAUAUGACUGUGCUCACAAUUAAGAUUUGUGCCAAGUCAACUGUAUCUGUUUUGAAGCUGCAUGCAGAGCAGCUUUCAUUGUAAAGCAUCAAACCCAUCUAAUAUGUAACAAUUAAGGAACAUAUAAUAAUGCCUCCUGGUUUGAUAGCAUCUAAAUGAAUCCCAACAUAGACAGAGAAGUCCUUAUUGCAAUCCCAGCUGUGCUCCCCUGUCCUCACAGUAGCUCUAUCAUACAGGGUGCUCGCCAGGAGCGUACAGUCAGCCUUAGUAGAUAAACACUGAUCAUCUCCAUCGCAAAGCAUAACUGAAGCACCCUGAGAUGAAGAAUUUUACCCGUCAGAAAAGCAAGUCUCUGGCAGAACCAGAAACUCAUUAAUUCAAAUGUUGUGCAUCUAAUGCUACAAACACUAACCUCCCCACCAAGCAGUGCCCCGAUAAAGCAAUGCAUUGCUGGAUCCUCUUAGAAACCCCUGUUUAGCAAUGGUGAAACAAGGAAAAGGAUUUGCUUCUCCCUGGCUCCAGUUCCCCUUUACAGGGUGAGAUCCCACAGUCCUGCAAUGGAGACUACUGCAGUCAAAGGCAGUACACUGCCUAGAGGGCCCCGUCAGGGUCAUCUUUGCACACUGUGGAGACCAAGAGGUCAGCUGUUGAAGUCCCUUUGGAAAAAGAGAGUCUACCACCAUCUCUUUCACAGAUGUGAAGCCCAAGGAUGGAUUAUGGAUAGAUAAUUUUGGAUGAAUCAAGAAAAGAGAGGAGGAAUAGCUGGAUGGCUAAAUAAAGCCAAU